GUCUUUGUGACUGGCACUCAUGGACAGACAGUGGUGUUCAGGGACAGAACAGAUUUUGGAGGGGGUGGGGAGGCCAAUAAACCAAGAAACGUCAGAAAUAAAAGUCGCAUGAAGUACUCUGAUCUCUGUAUUUCCUUUUUUUUUUUUUUUUUUUUGAAAUUUGAUUUUAACUCUUGCUUUUUUUUAUGGUUUGUGUCUGUUUUUUCCACCCCCGCUGGCGCCGAGCUGCGCUGUUUUGUGUUUCUUUUUUUUUUUUUUUUUCUAUUUUUUUUUUUUAAAUUCUGAAGCCAGACCGUCUUUCCUCACAGCUCCACGGCUGCAUCUCCGUGGGCACGCAAGCUUCCCCUGGUUACCUGAGCUGCUCCUGCCGUCUCCCGCCUGGGCUUCGCCGUGGUGCACCCGAUCCCGGAAUCGUGCGUCUGCGCCCUGCGAAAGAAGGACCUGCUGGCGGAGCUCCGGCCGGGGUCUCCUGCCUCGCAGCUGGGCGAGGGGACUUGGAGGACAGGGUGAAGCUGCAGAAGACCUGGGGUGGGAUGGCUAGAGAGGACGCCAAGGACUGGGGAAGGGGAAGUUAGGAAUACCUUACAUCCAAUGCCCACCCGUGCUCCGCAGGGCAAGGGCAGCCGUCGCCUCGGCCGCGUGCACCCAGCUCAGGCUGUUCCCAGGGAUUUAGUCUGGGGGGACAACCCAUGGCGAGAUGUGGUGGCAUUUUACCUCAGAGUGGAGCUGAAGAUGGAUAAACAAGUUCUGGAGACCAGAAGGCCAAAAUCAAAAGUAUGGGCAGGCUUGAUUUCUUUAGAAGACUCCAGCGGAGAACUGUGUCUCCUUGCUUCUGAUUCUACAUCUCCAUCCAUGGGCCACUGUUUCAGCAACCUCAGCCAGUGCAACACAACCUCAGCCAAGAAGAGUAUGCAGAGAAAGGAGUCCCCUACCUGCCACAAAACUGUUGUCUGAAAACUGUCUCAUAUUGUCUCAAGUUGUCAUUCAUUGUGAAUUAGACCUGUUUAACAUGUAAUCUGCAACAUGCUUCACUGUCUAAUUUUCCAGAGCCCCUCAUAUAAGGAACUGUAUUAUUGGUAUAAUCAUCAUGGUGAAGAAGUUGGUAUGUGGGGGAGAGAUGACAGAAACAGAGAGUAAGUCAGAGCUGGCUGCCUGACAGAUAAAAAGGAAAUGACCAAAAAAAAAAAAAAAGACACAGAAGAAUACUUUGUUGUCCACACAGAAAAGGGAAGUGUAGGUAAGACAGCAGUAGACUAAGAUUCUUAAGACUCAAGUUCUAGUCUUAUUUAUUAGCUAUGGGAGGCCUUGAGGGAGUUCUAGAAUUAAGUGAUCUCUCUUUAUAAAAUAGGAACAGUAAUAACUUCCUGGCUAACUCCCUGGCUGUCUCACAAUGCUGUAGUAGUAAGAAAUAAUUUUAUAAUUAAAGACUAUUUUAGGGCUGAUUACAUUUUUGGGCAGUGGCUCAUACAUGUAAUUUCAACAUUUUGGGAGGCCAAGGUGGGCGGAUUGCUUGAGCCCAGGAAUUCAAGACCAGGCUGGGCAACACAGACCUUGUCACUACAAAAGAAAAAAACAUUAGCUAGGCGUGGUGAUGUAUGCCUGUGGUCCCAGCUACUCAGGAAGCUGAGACAGGAGGAUCACCUGAGCCUGGGAGGUCGAGGCUACAGUGAGCCAUGAUCACACUACUGCACUCCAGCCUGGGAAACAGAGUGAGACUCUGUCUCAAAAAAAAAAAAAAAGGAAUAUUUUACACUUCAAGGUUCUAUACAAAUGUAAAAUAUCAUUCUAUUACUUAUUUAUAAUGCUGAUUAUUCUUUAAAUGACUUUAAAAUGUUAAUCUCUGCUUGAGCCUACGGAGAAGUAUGUAACAAAUUUGUGAAGGAUUGGCAUUAAACAUAGUCAAAAUAAAACAUAGAAAUUAUGGUAAAUAAUUUAACUGGUAAAAUAAUCUAAGUGGUAGUUCUCAGGUAAGUGGAAAUUCGAUUAGCUGAUUGUUUAGGAUUCUUGGUUAUAAGUGACAGAGACCUGACUAAAAGUACAUGAAGCACAUAACUGAGAAGGUUGUGGUAUGGCUCAGCAGAAAUGGGAAAAUCUUGGGACUGGUUCGUGUUUUAUUUACAUUAUCUUUGUUCCCAGGCAGUCUCUGCAUGUAAGUGGCAAAGAUGACUGUCUGAAAAUAUAUACCUACUUUUUUAAAGGGCUAUCUCAAGCCAUUCUGGAGAAGCACCAAAAGCCACUUUGCUUAUACUGGGAGAAUAGUUUGCUUUCCCUAAUUUGUGAUGAGUGAAACACUGAACAGAGACAUAGAAUAAUAUUCUGUAGUUCAGGGUUGGUGUAAUAUGGCCAGUGGGCGGAAUCUGGUCCUCAGACUGAUUUUGCAAAUAAUCUUAUAGAAACACAGCAACACCCAUUCAUUACAUGUUGUUUAUGGUUGCUUUGGGGUUACAAUGGCAGAGUUGAGUAGUUGUGACAGAGAUCACUAGGCUCACCACAUCUGAGAUAUGUACUGACUGACCCUGUACAGAAAGUUUGCUGCUCUUAGAGGAAUGUGUGUUUCUAGUGUCAGCAAUAAACUUCUUGGAUUUGUUUUGUUUUCUCAUCUUUACAUGAUAGUUGCAGACUAGUUGAUCCUUGUGACCUGUUUUUGAAUGCCACUGUGUAUUCUGUCAGGGCCCUCUGAUUCUGUUUCUUAUGGUGCUGAAUGCACAAUUUAAUGCCCUGGAAUUUCCUUCUGUCUUCUGCUAAACUCAUGCCUCUUCAGAUAGUUAAAAUCCUGUUCUACCUUAGAAGUCUCCAGAGUUAUUUUCCUAAAUUAAGAAGAACUGGCUUUGAAGUUACUCAUUAUGCCACACACAAUGGUUGAAAAGAGCAUCUCUUAUGUACUGUGUAUAUUUCAGCAUCCACUCAGCUUCUUAGGUAGAAAAGGAAGAGUCUUCCACAGUGUAUUUUAUCCAUAUUUGGGUCAGAAACUCUUCUUUACCACGGAGCGUGAUGGAAGAAAGAUAUGGGAUGGUAACAGUAGGCCAGGGAUGUAAUAAUCACAAAAUUUGAGAUAUUUUGUGACUGGUGACUCACGCCUGUGAUCCCAGCAUUUUGGGAGGCCAAAGCGGGCGGAUCACCUGAGGUCAGGAGUUCAAGACCAGCUUGGCCAAUGUAGUGAAACCUCAUCUCUACUAAAAAAAUAUAAAAAUUAGCUGGGUGUGGUGGUGCACACCUGUAAUCCUAGCUACUCAGGAGGCUGAGGCAGGAGAAUAGCUUGAACCAAGGAGGUGGAGGUUGCAGUGAGCUGAGAUUGUGCCACCACUGCAUUCCAGUCUGGGUGACAGAGCGAGACUCUGUCUCAAAAAAAAAAAAAAAAAAAAUCUAGAAAAAGAUCUCCAAGAUUCAAUCAUCUAAUUAUUUCUUUUAAAAAUGAGAAAAAUGACUCCUGGUCAGCUUUUACCUUCUUUUUCCAACUGUCUUGACAAUACUUUCAUAUUGGGCUUUUAAAGUCUCAAGUAAUAGGUUUUUAAAACCUCAGCUGAUAAAAGUAUAAAAAUAAAGUUAAAACAUAUUAAAGACAAAACCCAAGAAUCAGCUUCCUCUUCCUUCAUUACUCUUGCAUGGGUGUUGGCUCUAAUUUCUCCAUCUAGUUAGGCAGUCCUUUGCUUUUUAUUGCUUGUUUAUUGAUGACAUUUGCCAUUUGUAGCAAUAGUAAUAGAAUCAUCUAUAUAUUUGUGGCCUUGUUGAAUGUAGAAAAAGGAUAGUGGCAUUUUCUAAUUGUGUAACCCUAUAACACCUUGACGGGGGACUACAGUUCAUAUGCUGGACCUUUUGUGUUUGUUCAUGGCGGGUGGGUUGCUUUAAUAUACUUAGCACAUUGUCCUAAUUGCCAUCCUUUUGGGGAGGGCUAUAUAUCCAAGCUAAUAUGGUAGCAUUUUUGUUUUAACAUAGAGCUGACCCAAGGUAGACGUAAGUGUUGUUCAUUUUUGCCUAAUACUAAUAAAAUUACCUAAUUGUUGAAGCUUGGAGCUUGAAUCUAGGCAUUUUAUUUCAUUUCAAGUACACCCUAGUAUUUUAAAGCAUAAAUAUCCUACUAUCCUCAACAACUUUAGAACAAAAAUAAAUAUUUUAACAAGAAAAAAGCAUGCCAUGACAAGCUGUAACUUAGUAAAGAAAGACAAGGAAUGGUCUCUAUAGACCGAGAAAAAAUAGGUCCUCAGAUAUAUUUAUACCAAAGGAAUGUUAUGAAUGUAAAAAACAGUUUGACUCCCCCCCCCCCGCCAAAAAAAAACUCCACAACCCUAUAUUUUGUUAUCACAAGACUGUUUUAGUGAAUAAAACAGUAUGAAUUGGUUUUACCUGUUUCCAUUUAAUACUUAUUAACUUUAUAAUCGUAUAGCCUGAGGGUUUUAACUUCAAGUACAGCAUGAUGACUAUAAUAGUUUUACACAAGGCAAAUGUGAAAAACAGAAGUAAUUUCUUUUAAAAAGUGUGAAAUAUCUAAAAGGUAUGACUUCAAUACAUCAACUCAGGUGAGACAGACAUGUAACUUCUUUUUCCAUGUUUAAACCUAAUAUUGCUUUUGUGCCUCUGAAGGCUCGGAGUUUCCAUGCCUUCUUAGGACAUGCCACCCUCUCCACACCUGGAUGUGUUCACCAACCCAGAAGCUCUUGGAACCCCAUCAUUUGGGGUUUUUAUGGAGUCCCCAUUAAGUAGGUAUGACUGAUUAAAUCACUGGCCAUUGGUGGUUGACUCAAUCUCCAGCCUCUCUUCCCUCUCUGAAGGUGAAGGGGUGGGAAGGUGAGGCUAAGUUCCAACCCUCGGAUCACAGGGUUGGUUCCUCUGCAACCAGGCUUCAUCGUGAAACAAUACAGGGCCCACCGAGAGUCACCCCAUUAGCAAACUCAGAUGUGAUUGAAAGGGGCUUAUUAUGAAUAUCAAAAGACAUUUCUCUUUCUCCUAUUACUCAGACAGUUACAAGGGUUUCAGAAGCUCUUGCACCAGGAACUGGGAACAAAGACCAAAUAUAUAUGUCUUCUUCUAUUACAAUGUCACAGGUGUGACAGAGUAGGUAAAUGGAGUCUCAGAGAGUCCCCAGAGUAUUCCAUGGAGCCACAAAAUGAAGAAUAAAUGGAUGGUUCUCCCCAUGAUCAAAAGUGGCCUGAAAAUACUUGAGAAUGAGUCAUAACUUAAAAGGCUGUAUAGUAGAAAAGAAUGCACAGAGGACCGAAUGUAAAAGAAGGCACCCCAGUCUCAGCUAGUGUGGAUGCAUGCCAGUGUAGAAAGAUGCUAGUGUGGCUACAUUGGUGCACUGAAGACCAAACUCCUGCAUGGCCCCACAUCCUUGAUACCUUAGAUCUAUAUCAUCCCCUAAAACUUAGGUGUUAUGACAUUCAGGAUAUGCUACCCCAUCAUUUUUUAGGCUGAAGGAAUUUGAGAAAACAGAAGCAGGAAUGUAAUUGCCCAGUGGGUUCUUCCUGCCCUGUGCACAGACAAAACCAGUUCACUGAGACCAUGGUAUUGCAGUUAAGAAAGAGUUUAACAGGAGGCUGGCCACAUGGAAGAAUUACAGUUAUUACAAAUUAGUCUCCCUGAAGGCUCAGAGGUCAGGGUUUUUCAUGGAUAGUUCGGUGAGCAGUGGAUUAGGGGUAAGUGCUGCUGAUUGGUUGGGGAUACAAUCAUAGGGGUGUGGAAAAUGGUCCUUGUGUGCUGAGUCACCUCUGGGUGGGAGGCCAUGGGACCCAUUGAGUCAUGAGUCACGAGGCUGGGUUGGGUCAGUGUGAAAAACAUCUCAAAAGACCAAUCUUAGGUUCAAAAUAGGUGAUAUUACCUGUAGGAGCAAUUGGGAAAGUUAUAAAUUAUAUGACCUCUUGGCCCCAUGACUUCUGAGCAGUAAGAGAUGAUAGAAACUAAACCUACAUUUUAUCAGCACUCAGGCCUCUUCCAUAAUCCUAAUCUUGUGGCCUUUCGUUAGUCUUAUAAAGGUGGUUUGGUAACUGCCCUCAAGCAAGGAGGGGAUCAGUUUUAGGGAGGUGCUAUUAUCAUCCUUGCUUCAAAGUUAAGCUGUAAACUAAAUUCCUCCCAUAAUUAGCUUGGCCUACACCCAGAAAUGAGCAAAGACAGCCAGCCUGUGAUGUUAGAAGCAAGAUGGAGUUAGUCAUGUUAGAUUUCUCUCACUGUCAUAAUCUUUGCAAGGGAGGUUCCAGGAAGGUCAUCCUACCUUUCCCCUCACCCUUCUCAUGUGACACAGGUCAUAAAGCCUAGGAAGGAUUUUCCGACCUUUCCCUGAAGCAGGUCGUAAGACCCUCAUUGGGGAGGUGCCAUUUCUAGACCAAGAGAAAAGGCACAUCCUUAUGUCUGAAGACACAGGGACACAGAGAAGAAUCUGAACAAACAGGUCUUGCUAAGUUCCCCCCAGUUUGUUUUCAUUAGAUCAUGCCCCUUUAUUCAAUGCUGUUUCUCCACAACUAUCCAUUUCUUCAUCAAGCCUAGCAUAAAAAAUACAGGUUUCACGGUUUCUUUGGGUCUUCAUUUCCUUAUAAAGUCUCCUGUACCAUGUAAAACUUAAAUAAGUUUCUCUGCUUUUCUCUUGUUGAUUCUGUCCUUUGUUUUAUAACCCUCAGACAUGAACCUAGUGAUGAGUGAGGGGAAGAUAAUUUAUUUUCCUCUACAGAUGCAAAAGGGAAAAGGGAACAAUCCCUAAACGGAAGUUAUGAUCCAGGGAUCAGAGGCUCAAAAGCAAGAUUAGGUUUAAAUGUAGAAAAAUACAUUCCUCUUUCAUUUUAGAUAUCCCAAAUGCCCAAAUCAACCCAGCUAUUUCUCAGAAGUCUGUUUCCCCUCCACCCUCUGCUCCUCUGUGUAGUGAAACUGUCUCGUUUGGGAGUAAAAUGGCCUGGCUUUCCUUACUGAGUAUACUCUCAAGACUAUUGCCUAUUACUUUUUUCCAUUCCUUCUUGAGAACUACGCUUUUUAAAACAAGAAUUGACUCCAUUUAUCUUUUUCUUUUAGCCUUCUGCUGGGGUAUGCCUUCUCUAAAGCAAUGAAUAAAAAAUGCUUUAGCUGAAUAAAUGGGGCAAGGAUCAAGGAGUACAAGCUAAUAUUUCACAAUAUUAUCCUGCCAUAAAUAAAAGUAUGGUUUAAAUGACAAUGGUGGGGUUAGGAGUUACAGGUCACUGAAACACCACCUUAUUCAUGCUACCAGCCCCUUGGCUUUCCUGAUGGCAGCAGGGAAGCAACACAUAGGUAGAAUUAUGAGCCAACAUCGUGACUGGAGAGGGAUUGAAAAUCUUAUUUGUUGUCUUCCUAGACUAUUACAGUUAUCUGUUGAAAUUAGACUCAAUUCUUUGGCGAAAGUACUCAUUUUUAAGGUCCAUAAUAAAUUGUAACUAUGUAGCCUUUGUUGCAUGAGUUUAGUAUGAGCUGAUUGGUGGGCCACAGUGAAAGGCAGAGGGAAAUGGAUGUUAACUAAGAGGUAGAAGUCCCCUUGAAGUUCUGACCCUGUCACUAAUGAAGUCUUUAUUUCCGUAUUUAGUAAUUGCCUUUUUUUUUUUUUUUUGAGACAGAGUCUUGCUCUGUCGCCAGGAUGGGGUACAGUGGCACAGUAUCUGCUCACUGCAACCUCCGCCUCCCAGGUUCAAGCAGUUCCCCUGCCUCAGCUUCCUGAAUAGCUGGGACUACAGGUGUCUGCCGCCAUGCCUGGCUAAUUUUUGUAUUUUUAGUAGAGACGGGGUUUCACUAUGUUGGCCAGGAUGGUCUCGAUCUCCUGACCUCGUGAUCUGCCCACCUCAGCCUCCCAAAGCUAGGAUUACAGACGUGAGCCACCAUGCCCGGCCAACUGCCUUCUUUAUAUCUCAUUUUAAAAAUUUAUAACAAAGAAGUGGGUUGAUUUUCAAGACCUAGUUGUGUUAGUUUGAAUGAGAUGCAUACAUUUGGCAAGUCUGGGGUCUAAGAAAAGAUAAAGAUCUGAAUGCUGAAAAUCUAGAGAAUUCAGGUUACUGGGGGAUAACUUAAAGUCACUAGGGAAUUCGGGUUACUGGGGGGAUAACUUAAGGUCACUAGGGAAUUCGGGUUACUGGGGGGAUAACUUAAGGUCACUAGAACCCAAAUGCAGGGAAGAGUUGGGUGCUCUUUGGCAAAUAAACAUUCCUGACUUAGCAUUUUUCUUAAACCCGAACGUGCCAGCUGUUUUUUUGUUUUUUUGUUUUUUUGUUUUGUGACCUCAGCCAGGCUUGCGUGUUUAUUCAUCACAUAUUCUAAGCUCAUAUACAACUGUGACCUGAUCCAGCCUUCAAGGAACUCACUCUUGAUUUUAGGAAUCUUUCCACCACUUCGAUUUCAUCUUACUCCUGAAACAGUCAGCCAGAACUGUCUAAUUCAGUCUAUACUUCUGAUACAAAACUCUACCCAGCAACCACUAUGGUUUUGUUGCUUUAGGUACGUGUUAGAAAGCACCCACAUCAAUUUACAGAAAAUCCUUAACUGAAUCUCUAGUCCCAGAGGAGUCAUAUUUUAUUAUAUGGUGCUUUUUAUUUAAAGAGAUCGGUUUAAUAGAAAUUACUCAGGCAUUUGAAGUGAUAGCUUUAAAAUGUGGGACUGGGGAAAAUAAGAACACUUGACCUCUCUCCAUAAAAUUGAAUUGUUCUUUAGGUUUAAAGUUUUGACAGACAAAGAGAAAGUGAGAGCAAGUGAGGGUGAAAAUAUAUCCUUAUUUGGUAAUGAGUACCCAUUAAGAGGACAGUAUAUUACAUUUCAUCUUCUUACUUCACAUUCCUGUUUUAAGGAUUUGUGAGCAAAGUGCUGUGAGACCUCUAGAGUUAAGAGGCUGGAGAUAGGUAGUUUUGAUGGUAUUUUAAGGAGUGCUCCAUAAUGUGUAGUGUCUGAGUGCUGAAGCUUAAUCAGCUUCAAUUAAAUCCAAAACAUACUGAAUAGCUCCUAUGUGUCUGGCAUUGAGCUGUGUGCCAAAGUGGUGGAAAGAUGUAAGAGCCACUGAGGCUUAGAGAUGAAAAGGAUCUUGGAGCCACUGGUUUCCUGCCUGCUGGAGUUUCACCAUCAAGGACCCUUUCGUUAUUUUCCUUCUCCCAUGCAUUUUAUUAAAAUUUUUGGUUUAGUAAACCAAAUUCACUAAUGGGAUGUUAUUUUCAUAUCAAAGAGUAUAAUUCUGCCAAUCAAGGCUUCUGAUCAGCAUAAAAUAAUUAGGUUUCAUACUGAAUGCACAAAUUCUAGUCAAAAGCAAAGCCAUUUGAUGACAUGUCUGCUAUGUUGCCAUUUGCUUUAAGAGAGGUAAAGGUAGCCUGACUUCUGUUCACUCUGUAGUACAGAAUACAUUGUUAACAAGUCAUAGGUAUGUUCUUUUAGGUUUCUAAUUACUGUCAGCCUCUCAUUUCAGACAGGUGAUGUGAUAAGGUGAAAUGAUUACUAUAUUUAGACUCAAAAGUCCUGAGUUUGAGUCCUCGUUUAACGAUCUAGUCCAUGAGCUUCAGUUUUCUCACCUGUUAAAUGGAAAUGAUGAUUAUUUCCUGGAAAUUGCAUUUCCAGGUUGUUUUGAAUGAUAAAUGAUAUGGUGUAUAUAUCAGCUGUUUGCAAACCAGAAAAAGCUAUUCUAUGGUAAACACAUGCAGUGGGCUGAAUUGUGUCUCCCAAAAUUCAUAUGUUGAAGUCCUCACCCCCAGGGCCUCAGAAUGUGACUGUAUUUGGAUCUAGGGUCUUCAAGAGAUAACUAAGUUAGAAUGAGGUCAUUUGGGUUGAUCCUAAUCCAACUGACUGAUAUCCUUAUAAGACGACGAAAUUUGGAUACAGAAAUACACAGAAGACAGGGAGAAGAUGGCCAUCUACAAGCUAAGGAGAGAGGCCUCAGAAGAAACACACCUGCCACACCUUGAAUUUGGACUUCUAGCCAUCAGAACUGUGGGAAAAUAAAUUUCUGUUGUUUAAGCCAGGAGUCCUCAACCCCCGGGCUGUGGACCUGUACCAGUCGGUGGCAUGUUAAGGACUGGGCUCCACAGCAGGAGGUGAGUGGUGGGCGAGUGAGCAUUACUGCCUGAGCUCCACCUCCCGUCAGAUCAGCAGUGGCAUUAGAUUCUCAUAGGAGCACAAACCCUAUUGUAAACUGAGCACGCAAGGGAUCUAGGUUGUGCGCUCCUUACGAGAAUCUAAUGCCUGAUAAUCUGAGAUUGAACAGUUUUAUCCCCAAACCAUCCCCUCCACCACCCCCGUGGUCUGUGGAAAAAUUGUCUUCCACAAAACUGGUCCCUGGUGCCGAAAAGGUUAGGGACCAGCGGCUCAAGCCACCCAGCCUGUGGUACUUUGUUACGGUAGCCCUGGCAAAUGAAUACAACACGUUUUAGACUAUGAUGUUACACAUGCAGUGUGUUGAGAGCCAAAGAACCCAAAUGAUUCGUGGUAUCUGCCCUUGAAGAGUUUUUAAUCUUUUUGGGCAUGAUGAAACAUACACAUGGAAAAUAAAAUAGCAUAUAACCAAGUGCCCAAAUCAGUAAUAAAUACAGUUGACUCCAUAAACAUUUAGGAACCUUCUAUCCCAUGUUUCCACAUUCUAUCCCAGUGGCUUUUGCCACUAAAUUUCUUCACCCACUAUUAGACUGAUGUUUUCAUCUUUCAGUAUCAGACUCAAGCUUUAAUCUAGAAAGAGGGGGUGGGGGGAUAAAUGCUAUACUUUGGAACCAGUCCGGAUAUUUUAAGUAUGUUUUUAAAAAGUAUAAUCCUCACAACAUGAAAGUUAUUAGUUCUAUUUUUCAGGUGAGAAGAGUUAAGGUCAAACAGACGAAAGCUAGUUAGUGGAGGGACUGGUAUUCCAAGCCCAUUCUGGUUAAACUAAAUCUUGUGUUCUUUCCACUAGAAAACUGCUUUUUGUCUUAAUUAUAAUUUUGUGACAAGGAUGUAUAGUCCAUUAAGGAAUAUAUACAACAGAAGAAGCAUUUAAGUGGACUUGAGGUUUGUGAAUCUGAACUAGUUUCUAUCGACUUUCACAUCAGCAGCUCCUAUUCUGGGGAAAGAGAAUGGAGGCUGGGAGUGAUCCUGACAAACCUUGAUGUGCAGGCUUGUGGAGAAACUGGAUUCACACCCAGGCUCGUGGAGUGUGGGAGAGGCUGGCCUGUCACAAUAUCAGGACAGCCUCUCUUAAUAACACUGCAGAAGGAAUCGAGGGCCCUGUGGUUUGCGGUCAGUGUGCCUCUUGUGCCAACUUUGGCACUACAAUGUCUUCAAUCACAUUAUCUUCCAAACCGGCUCUUCAUCCUAUGUCCUUAUUUCUGCUAAUGGUAUUCAUUUCUCUUAUUCAUGGACUCUGGGAAUCUUGGUGGUAUUAAAACCUGUCUCUUCUUUCCCCCUCGAUCUUCCACAUUCCAUUUCCUUUCAGCAGAAUCCCAAGCCUUCACCAUUUUUCAUUUUUGGUGCUGUUUCAGAGUUGCUGUGAACUUUACCUGGGUCCUCUAUCACCUUACCCAGCCAUUUGUCAUUCUGCCUGGUAAAGGGUUGAGCAGAUUUAUCUAUAUGAAUGAUCUUAUUUAAGCUAUUCUGUACACCUUCUGCUACUUAAACAGGCUCUAUGCUUCCACAUCUGCUCUCUAUCUGCCUAUGUGACUCAAACUUCAAUUGUCCAUCUCAGACAUCACAUCCUCCAUGAAGCCCUCUUGGGUUAUUUGAAGUAAUCUCUCUUCUGGGCUCUCAUAGCAUUACUGCUUGUAACUCUUUCAAAAGAUGAAUUUUGUGCUGUUGUUUACUUAAUGAGUACAAAUUUAGUGAUAAAUUUGAAAAACUUGUGUCCAUGUUUGAUAAAUAUGAAAAUCUCAUCAUUUUCAAUAUUUCUUAGAAUUUCAAAAUGUACUAAAUAUUAUUAAAAACCAAUCAUGGCAAUUUUAACAUUGAGUAUUCUUUUUUGAAAUAUGAAUGCUCCUCUCUCAAGACUGGUAUACUUUCUCACUCUACUCCCUUUUCAAGUGCCCUUAUCGAACUUUGCUGAUGAAAUCAUCUUUUCUUAGUUUGUUAGACUUUGGAUGGUGGAGACCUGUGCCUGCUACUUCUCUCAUCUCCUGAUACCUAAUGCAUAGUGUUCAGUAAGUAUUUAUUUGGUGAUAACAAUAUCAAAAACUAGAUAAUGCUUAGAAGAUCCAACACCUUCCAAAAUCUCUGUUAACCAGGUACUGAAAUAUGGUCAACCAGAUGAGCUGAAAUGUCAAGAACUUAUAGACACACAUGGUUUCAUGGUUGUGAAACUAGAAGAUGUGGCAUAUUUUACACAAUGGAGGGAAGAGCAAAGGUUAUGCAUGUGCGGAGGCAGAGCCCCUAGGCAGGUUUCCCUCUUUUCCUUCCUGUGCACUGAUUUUUAUUUUGGUGAACUGAAACAGGGGUCUAACAAACUGGUAUCUCAUUUGUCUUUAUAAACAGAACUGCCAGAUUGGCUUUGCAAUUCAGGGCCCUGUAGGGUGCCCACCUCCUCAGUUUGGGCAGCAGCAUUACAUCUGAGUCUUAGAAUAAAAAUGGAAAGCAAUGGCUCAACCCAUUGGUUUGUCACCAUCCACAUGAAGGAUCUCUAUUGGUAAAAAAACAGACUCCCGUGUUCAAGGCCCUGGGGCUGGAAUCAAAUCCAUCAUUCAUUUAUUUCGGUUUUUUAAGGCUAAAUACAUAGGGAAGAAAAUGAAAUGUGAGAAAGCUGUGCAUUUUCAAUGUCAUCUUGAAAGUGAGUAUCUUUAGACACAUAAAGUAGAUGAGUGGUUAACUUGGGCUGGGAGAGGGAGUGAGGAGUGGUUGUACAUGGCACAAGGUUUCUAUUUAGUGUGAUUGAAAUGUUCUAUAAUUUGAUUGAUGAUUGUACAGUUCUGUAAAUAAACUAAAAUGUAUUGAAUUGUAUAAUUAAAACAUGCAGAUUUUAUAUUUAAAAUAUACUUUGAUAAAAGUGUUUUAAAAAUGAAUAUCUCAUAGGGUAGAAUGAAAUGAAUAAGAGAAACAGUGAGGCAUCCAGGGGACUUUCUGCACAGUGGGUCUGUCAUUAGGCAGGUACGUUGCCACAGCCAGUUCUAAUGCCCACUCAUAGGCCAAUGCCUAGGACAAUUGCUCAGAUAUCGCCUCUGACAGGCA
This 13071-nucleotide long non-coding RNA is filed under the name Homo sapiens (human). RNAcentral describes it as "non-protein coding CASC15:64". Lineage: Eukaryota; Metazoa; Chordata; Mammalia; Primates; Hominidae. The record is from RNAcentral.